Molecule: non-coding RNA, 29 nt
Organism: Vibrio aerogenes CECT 7868
Lineage: Bacteria; Pseudomonadati; Pseudomonadota; Gammaproteobacteria; Vibrionales; Vibrionaceae
Source: Rfam
GUUCACUGCCGCACAGGCAGCUUCAGAAU